Molecule: long non-coding RNA, 671 nt
Organism: Solea solea (common sole)
Lineage: Eukaryota; Metazoa; Chordata; Actinopteri; Pleuronectiformes; Soleidae
Exons: 4
Source: RefSeq, a predicted model, not a curated record
CUUGUGUGUCAGACUUGCACAGAUGAUUCAUGUACAAGCACCGUGCCACUAACAUGUUCCACAGAGACAAUGUGUAUAACUGCCGCCAUUGAAGCCUUUUCAUCUGGAACUCCUGGACAACAAAUCUUCAAGGCGUGUGCGUCGUCCUCCCUUUGUCCAGCCACAGGAUCUCAGAUAUUUUCAGUCAACUUGGGUGUUUCGAGUGCACUUGCAUCUACUACAUGCUGCAACACAGAUAACUGCAACUCAGCCACUCUAUCAUUCCCCACCACUCCAUCAGUCAACAGCCUCCAGUGUUAUUCAUGUGACCCUGCCACAUCACAAUGCACCACUUCAGUACAGUGUACGGGAACACAAGAUCGCUGCUUUCAAGCAAGUGUGACAAAUGGGGCCUCCACUUCUCCUGCCUUUGGUUGUGCAUCUACAAACAUGUGUGCAGCUGCUGGUAGCUUGGGGACACUACCGUUCAUGCAAAAUGUUGGCAGCAUUAGCAGUGGACCAACUUGUUGUGAGACAAAUCUAUGUAACACUCUCACAACAACUGCUGCCCCAACUACAACUGCUGCUCCAACUACAACUGCUUCUCCAACAACUGCUUCACCAACUUCAUCUGCUGCUGCAACUACAACGACAUCAUCACCAACUUCAACUGCUGCCCCAACUACAACUCC